Molecule: unclassified non-coding RNA, 426 nt
Filed under: plant metagenome
Description: partial contains 5.8S ribosomal RNA, internal transcribed spacer 2, and large subunit ribosomal RNA
Rfam family: Bacterial small subunit ribosomal RNA
Source: RNAcentral
GGAAUCUUCCGCAAUGGGCGAAAGCCUGACGGAGCAACGCCGCGUGAGUGAUGAAGGUUUUCGGAUCGUAAAGCUCUGUUGCCAAGGAAGAACGUCUUCUAGAGUAACUGCUAGGAGAGUGACGGUACUUGAGAAGAAAGCCCCGGCUAACUACGUGCCAGCAGCCGCGGUAAUACGUAGGGGGCAAGCGUUGUCCGGAAUUAUUGGGCGUAAAGCGCGCGCAGGCGGUUCUUUAAGUCUGGUGUUUAAACCCGAGGCUCAACUUCGGGUCGCACUGGAAACUGGGGGACUUGAGUGCAGAAGAGGAGAGUGGAAUUCCACGUGUAGCGGUGAAAUGCGUAGAUAUGUGGAGGAACACCAGUGGCGAAGGCGACUCUCUGGGCUGUAACUGACGCUGAGACGCGAAAGCGUGGGGAGCAAACAGGA